Molecule: non-coding RNA, 167 nt
Filed under: Bathycoccus prasinos
Lineage: Eukaryota; Viridiplantae; Chlorophyta; Mamiellophyceae; Mamiellales; Bathycoccaceae
Source: RNAcentral
CAGAGAAGAAGAAGUCAAGAAAAAGUCAAGAGGAAGAGUUUCUCUCUUUUCUCUCUCUCUCUGCCUUUGUUUGUCUUCUUGUUCCUUCUUGCGAUAGAUACAAAAUCUUUAAGGGCGGCGGAAAUUAGAUAUACUGUUAUUUAUAAAUAAUUCAGUUAAUAUUAUUU